This is a long non-coding RNA of Saccostrea echinata, 2537 nucleotides long. RefSeq lists it as uncharacterized. The transcript has 15 exons. The record is from RefSeq and is a predicted model, not a curated record. Lineage: Eukaryota; Metazoa; Mollusca; Bivalvia; Ostreida; Ostreidae.
AACGCAGACAGACGCAUUUUGCCGGAAAACGAAUCUGACAUGCCACCUCGAGAUUUUAACCAAGGAAAGACAACUUGAUGUGCUUUGAUUUGAGGGGUCACUCAAUGCUGAACGAAAAUUAGGGACAUUGCUAUGUGAAGAAAUGUUAACAUUGCCGCCUAUGGGAAAACAAUUAGUGGGCUGUACCCAAUAUGUGAAGCCUAUUGGUUCAUGUUGAUACAGGUUAACUUUGAGGUUCAUGCAGAUGGUGUUUAAAACUAUCAGUCAGGAAAAACAAACUCAUUUGAACACAGCUUGAGUCUUCAUAUAUAAAAUGAUGGCAGUACUUUUAAUAUAGGUUAACGCAGACAGACGCAUUUUGCCGGAAAACGAAUCUGACAUGCCACCUCGAGAUUUUAACCAAGGAAAGACAACUUGAUGUGCUUUGAUUUGAGGGGUCACUCAAUGCUGAACGAAAAUUAGGGACAUUGCUAUGUGAAGAAAUGUUAACAUUGCCGCCUAUGGGAAAACAAUUAGUGGGCUGUACCCAAUAUGUGAAGCCUAUUGGUUCAUGUUGAUACAGGUUAACUUUGAGGUUCAUGCAGAUGGUGUUUAAAACUAUCAGUCAGGAAAAACAAACUCAUUUGAACACAGCUUGAGUCUUCAUAUAUAAAAUGAUGGCAGUACUUUUAAUAUAGGUUAACGCAGACAGACGCAUUUUGCCGGAAAACGAAUCUGACAUGCCACCUCGAGAUUUUAACCAAGGAAAGACAACUUGAUGUGCUUUGAUUUGAGGGGUCACUCAAUGCUGAACGAAAAUUAGGGACAUUGCUAUGUGAAGAAAUGUUAACAUUGCCGCCUAUGGGAAAACAAUUAGUGGGCUGUACCCAAUAUGUGAAGCCUAUUGGUUCAUGUUGAUACAGGUUAACUUUGAGGUUCAUGCAGAUGGUGUUUAAAACUAUCAGUCAGGAAAAACAAACUCAUUUGAACACAGCUUGAGUCUUCAUAUAUAAAAUGAUGGCAGUACUUUUAAUAUAGGUUAACGCAGACAGACGCAUUUUGCCGGAAAACGAAUCUGACAUGCCACCUCGAGAUUUUAACCAAGGAAAGACAACUUGAUGUGCUUUGAUUUGAGGGGUCACUCAAUGCUGAACGAAAAUUAGGGACAUUGCUAUGUGAAGAAAUGUUAACAUUGCCGCCUAUGGGAAAACAAUUAGUGGGCUGUACCCAAUAUGUGAAGCCUAUUGGUUCAUGUUGAUACAGGUUAACUUUGAGGUUCAUGCAGAUGGUGUUUAAAACUAUCAGUCAGGAAAAACAAACUCAUUUGAACACAGCUUGAGUCUUCAUAUAUAAAAUGAUGGCAGUACUUUUAAUAUAGGUUAACGCAGACAGACGCAUUUUGCCGGAAAACGAAUCUGACAUGCCACCUCGAGAUUUUAACCAAGGAAAGACAACUUGAUGUGCUUUGAUUUGAGGGGUCACUCAAUGCUGAACGAAAAUUAGGGACAUUGCUAUGUGAAGAAAUGUUAACAUUGCCGCCUAUGGGAAAACAAUUAGUGGGCUGUACCCAAUAUGUGAAGCCUAUUGGUUCAUGUUGAUACAGGUUAACUUUGAGGUUCAUGCAGAUGGUGUUUAAAACUAUCAGUCAGGAAAAACAAACUCAUUUGAACACAGCUUGAGUCUUCAUAUAUAAAAUGAUGGCAGUACUUUUAAUAUAGGUUAACGCAGACAGACGCAUUUUGCCGGAAAACGAAUCUGACAUGCCACCUCGAGCUUUUAACCAAGGAAAGACAACUUGAUGUGCUUUGAUUUGAGGGGUCACUCAAUGCUGAACGAAAAUUAGGGACAUUGCUAUGUGAAGAAAUGUUAACAUUGCCGCCUAUGGGAAAACAAUUAGUGGGCUGUACCCAAUAUGUGAAGCCUAUUGGUUCAUGUUGAUACAGGUUAACUUUGAGGUUCAUGCAGAUGGUGUUUAAAACUAUCAGUCAGGAAAAACAAACUCAUUUGAACACAGCUUGAGUCUUCAUAUAUAAAAUGAUGGCAGUACUUUUAAUAUAGGUUAACGCAGACAGACGCAUUUUGCCGGAAAACGAAUCUGACAUGCCACCUCGAGAUUUUAACCAAGGAAAGACAACUUGAUGUGCUUUGAUUUGAGGGGUCACUCAAUGCUGAACGAAAAUUAGGGACAUUGCUAUGUGAAGAAAUGUUAACAUUGCCGCCUAUGGGAAAACAAUUAGUGGGCUGUACCCAAUAUGUGAAGCCUAUUGGUUCAUGUUGAUACAGGUUAACUUUGAGGUUCAUGCAGAUGGUGUUUAAAACUAUCAGUCAGGAAAAACAAACUCAUUUGAACACAGCUUGAGUCUUCAUAUAUAAAAUGAUGGCAGUACUUUUAAUAUAGGUUAACGCAGACAGACGCAUUUUGCCGGAAAACGAAUCUGACAUGCCACCUCGAGAUUUUAACCAAGGAAAGACAACUUGAUGUGCUUUGAUUUGAGGGGUCACUCAAUGCUGAACGAAAAUUAGGGACAUUGCUAUGUGAAGAAAUGUUAACAUUGCCG